AGUAAUCAAGCAAUGUAUAUGCAUAUUAACUGUUAAUUAAUAAAUAGGGGCUUACUCGGUUACUA
This 65-nucleotide transfer RNA is filed under the name Clavelina lepadiformis (light-bulb sea squirt). RNAcentral's name for it is "transfer RNA-Asn". The record is from RNAcentral. Lineage: Eukaryota; Metazoa; Chordata; Ascidiacea; Aplousobranchia; Clavelinidae.